Molecule: non-coding RNA, 75 nt
Organism: Myotis brandtii (Brandt's bat)
Lineage: Eukaryota; Metazoa; Chordata; Mammalia; Chiroptera; Vespertilionidae
Source: Rfam
GGCGGUUCUCAGGUAAUGCACCCUGGAAUUGGGCUCCCUUCUCUCUGGUUCCAAGUGUGUCACCCAAGAACCACA